GAUACUCCAAUAAUAUACGACUUUAUAACUGAUUAAAGUUUUCAUCGGCAGAUGAAAUAACAACUCAGCUGCAUAUUGUACUUAUUCAGUGUACAUUGCAUUAUUUUUAAACUAUACAGCGAUGAAGAAUUAAUUU
Molecule: long non-coding RNA, 136 nt
Organism: Rhopalosiphum padi (bird cherry-oat aphid)
Lineage: Eukaryota; Metazoa; Arthropoda; Insecta; Hemiptera; Aphididae
Exons: 3
Source: RefSeq, a predicted model, not a curated record